Hibiscus syriacus is the source of this 591-nucleotide long non-coding RNA. RefSeq lists it as uncharacterized. The record is from RefSeq and is a predicted model, not a curated record. Lineage: Eukaryota; Viridiplantae; Streptophyta; Magnoliopsida; Malvales; Malvaceae. The transcript has 2 exons.
CCAUCCCUUCAACUACUAUAUAUUAGCUACUUCACCAUCUUGUGUUGGAGACAUUGAUAGAAGAUCAUAAGCUUGAAAAAAAACAUGAUGAAGUUGAAGUCAAAGAGGUUUUUGCAGAGGCAGCUUUAGGUUUGGCAAUGGAGGAAAUGGUGGUGAAAAGGGAUGUGCAAACAACAGCAAUAUUAUUAGUGAAAUCAAAUGGGAAGUUAAUGGGAAGUUAGGCCUGGUGCGAUGCUUAUUCAAAGGAGAGAAACUAGUGGUUCAAGAGAAGGGAUGAUCACUAUUGGAGUCUCAACAGUUUCUCAAUUCAUGAUGUUUCCAUUGAAUCAACUUCCACUUUUUGAGAAUUAAAGUUGGUGUUGUCAUUGAUAACAAGCUUGGAGCCAAGAGAGCAGGGGGUAUUAUUUAAAGGGAAAGAAAGGGGAGAUGAUGAAUAUUUACACAUGGUUGGGUAAAAGAAAAAGACAAAGUUCUUUUGUUUGAAGAUCCAGCCAUCAAAGAGGUGAAGAAGCUUCAUAGAUUGGCAGGAACCCAACAAUUUGGAACCCCUUAUUGCACAAUAAGUGUAUGACUAUUUAUUCAAAAUAACAA